GACGAACGCUGGCGGCGUGCCUAAUACAUGCAAGUCGAACGAACUCUGGUAUUGAUUGGUGCUUGCAUCAUGAUUUACAUUUGAGUGAGUGGCGAACUGGUGAGUAACACGUGGGAAACCUGCCCAGAAGCGGGGGAUAACACCUGGAAACAGAUGCUAAUACCGCAUAACAACUUGGACCGCAUGGUCCGAGUUUGAAAGAUGGCUUCGGCUAUCACUUUUGGAUGGUCCCGCGGCGUAUUAGCUAGAUGGUGGGGUAACGGCUCACCAUGGCAAUGAUACGUAGCCGACCUGAGAGGGUAAUCGGCCACAUUGGGACUGAGACACGGCCCAAACUCCUACGGGAGGCAGCAGUAGGGAAUCUUCCACAAUGGACGAAAGUCUGAUGGAGCAACGCCGCGUGAGUGAAGAAGGGUUUCGGCUCGUAAAACUCUGUUGUUAAAGAAGAACAUAUCUGAGAGUAACUGUUCAGGUAUUGACGGUAUUUAACCAGAAAGCCACGGCUAACUACGUGCCAGCAGCCGCGGUAAUACGUAGGUGGCAAGCGUUGUCCGGAUUUAUUGGGCGUAAAGCGAGCGCAGGCGGUUUUUUAAGUCUGAUGUGAAAGCCUUCGGCUCAACCGAAGAAGUGCAUCGGAAACUGGGAAACUUGAGUGCAGAAGAGGACAGUGGAACUCCAUGUGUAGCGGUGAAAUGCGUAGAUAUAUGGAAGAACACCAGUGGCGAAGGCGGCUGUCUGGUCUGUAACUGACGCUGAGGCUCGAAAGUAUGGGUAGCAAACAGGAUUAGAUACCCUGGUAGUCCAUACCGUAAACGAUGAAUGCUAAGUGUUGGAGGGUUUCCGCCCUUCAGUGCUGCAGCUAACGCAUUAAGCAUUCCGCCUGGGGAGUACGGCCGCAAGGCUGAAACUCAAAGGAAUUGACGGGGGCCCGCACAAGCGGUGGAGCACGUGGUUUAAUUCGAAGCUACGCGAAGAACCUUACCAGGUCUUGACAUACUAUGCAAAUCUAAGAGAUUAGACGUUCCCUUCGGGGACAUGGAUACAGGUGGUGCAUGGUUGUCGUCAGCUCGUGUCGUGAGAUGUUGGGUUAAGUCCCGCAACGAGCGCAACCCUUAUUAUCAGUUGCCAGCAUUAAGUUGGGCACUCUGGUGAGACUGCCGGUGACAAACCGGAGGAAGGUGGGGAUGACGUCAAAUCAUCAUGCCCCUUAUGACCUGGGCUACACACGUGCUACAAUGGAUGGUACAACGAGUUGCGAACUCGCGAGAGUAAGCUAAUCUCUUAAAGCCAUUCUCAGUUCGGAUUGUAGGCUGCAACUCGCCUACAUGAAGUCGGAAUCGCUAGUAAUCGCGGAUCAGCAUGCCGCGGUGAAUACGUUCCCGGGCCUUGUACACACCGCCCGUCACACCAUGAGAGUUUGUAACACCCAAAGUCGGUGGGGUAACCUUUUAGGAACCAGCCGCCUAAGGUGGGACAGAUGAUUAGGGUG
This 1489-nucleotide ribosomal RNA is filed under the name Lactiplantibacillus plantarum. RNAcentral describes it as "bacterial SSU rRNA". It matches the Rfam family "Bacterial small subunit ribosomal RNA". Lineage: Bacteria; Bacillati; Bacillota; Bacilli; Lactobacillales; Lactobacillaceae. The record is from RNAcentral.